RNAcentral lists this small RNA (928 nucleotides) under Pan troglodytes (chimpanzee). Its description in RNAcentral is "retained intron". Lineage: Eukaryota; Metazoa; Chordata; Mammalia; Primates; Hominidae. The record is from RNAcentral.
AAGCAUGGGUGAUAGUUCCAUGAUACUGGCUGAGUUUGCAAUAGCAGGUGGAACCCUAACUAUUGAGGGAGUUUGCAGAUACCUCAGGAUUCGUGACAAUGCCUUUAAAGAUCCAGGAGAGAUGUUCAGCUACUAGGAACUGCUAGCAAGUAUAGCGCGAAUGGCUCCGAGCUCAGACACUCUACAGCUGAGAGUAGACACUUGUGGUAUGUGGAGUACAGAUAAGCCAGGGGCAGGCCACGGCACGCUCCAUGAAAGCUAGGAGGGAGUGAAAUAUCAGUGAUCAUCGCAAGGAAGGAGGCAGACAAGAGUAAGGCACACCUGACUCUUAGGACUAGCAGUCAGAACCAGGAGGAAAGGUUUUAUUGCUAUGCGGGUAGGUAAGAACAGAUUUUACUUACAUCCAUAUAGUUACUUAAAGUCCAGUUUUCUGUUAAAACAUUUUUCUUAAUAUAUUGAGCCAAAACUAGUCCAGUUAAGCUGAACUUGGUUUUUCUGGAGAUGAAUUGUUUUAAAUUGACACCCUAUUGGUGGCUCCCAGUUGAAGGAAGUGAGCACAUUAUUUGUACUGUGAAUAUAAAUUUUUGCCCUUUUAUUUAUCUUCUUUUGACCCAUUUCCUUAAAAUAAUGGCUCAAAGUAAUAGACUCUUCCCCAAAUGGUGGGGGGAUGGGUGGGUUAUUAAUGGGAGGUAUGGGGGGUUUAGCUUGAGAUGGGACUUGGUCUUAGAGCUAGUUCUAAAGGUUGUUUACUUUUCUAGGGAGGAGUCUGCUACUAGUCUUAUCAGCUCUUAAAAACAGAAACUCAUCUGUCCCAGUUCGUGGCAGAAAGGAACGUCCUUGUGAAGACCUUUAUCUGAGCCACUGUACUUCGUUAUCACUGCCAUGCAGUUUACAUGAGCUGUUCUGCAGCUCAAAUUCCAUUUUGUGA